CGCAAAGGUGAUGGUUUAUCAACGUUAGACAUUAGCUGCUUUUUCAAACUAUUUGAAAAACAACACUUAUUCAACGUUAUUUCAACGUUGGUUGAAAAUGUGCUAAUUAAAAAACGUUAAAAAAGUGUUACUUUGCCAACGUUAAUAAAACGUUGUUUUGACAAUGUUGAGGAAGUGGCACAUUGAAAAUUAUUGUCUCAAUAACUAGCCAUUACAAAAAUAAUUUGCCUUAAUGGAAAGGCAAGGAAAACUUGAUAAAAUGCAUGCAUAUGGUUUGAAGCAGAGGCAGUUGUUCCAUCUUGUUCGAAAAAAGAUGGAUGGUUAUUUUGGUCAACUUGUGUUCAUGCAA
Non-coding RNA from Hydra vulgaris (swiftwater hydra), 349 nucleotides. Lineage: Eukaryota; Metazoa; Cnidaria; Hydrozoa; Anthoathecata; Hydridae. The record is from RefSeq and is a predicted model, not a curated record.